Molecule: non-coding RNA, 62 nt
Filed under: Elusimicrobiota bacterium
Lineage: Bacteria; Pseudomonadati; Elusimicrobiota
Description: Elusimicrobia bacterium Fluoride sequence
Rfam family: Fluoride riboswitch aptamer (crcB RNA motif)
Source: RNAcentral
GGAUAUACCGGCGAUGGGGUUCGCCAUAAACCGCCUCAACGGCUGAUGACUCCUAUAAUCGC